AAUCCAUGCAUCGGACAUUUUUGAAUUAAAUCUUUAAAUCGUUCCUAAGCUUCAUAUAAAGUUUCAUCCUUAAAUUUCUAAAAAUAUGUGAUCUCAUUUCUAAACUU
Molecule: non-coding RNA, 107 nt
Organism: Gossypium hirsutum (cotton)
Lineage: Eukaryota; Viridiplantae; Streptophyta; Magnoliopsida; Malvales; Malvaceae
Source: Rfam